This 719-nucleotide ribosomal RNA is filed under the name uncultured archaeon. RNAcentral describes it as "bacterial SSU rRNA". It matches the Rfam family "Archaeal small subunit ribosomal RNA", at positions 140 to 859 of the family's 1478-position model. The record is from RNAcentral.
CUGAGGAUAAUACCGGAUAGGCAAUUUUUCCUGUAAUGGUUCUUUGUUUAAAUGUUUUUUCGCCUAAGGAUGGGUCUGCGGCCGAUUAGGUAGUUGGUUAGGUAAUGGCUUACCAAGCCGUUGAUCGGUACGGGUUGUGAGAGCAAGAGCCCGGAGAUGGAACCUGAGACAAGGUUCCAGGCCCUACGGGGCGCAGCAGGCGCGAAACCUCCACAAUGUGAGAAAUCGCGAUGGGGGGAUCCCAAGUGCCAUUCUUAACGGGAUGGCUUUUCAUUAGUGUAAAAAGCUUUUGGAAUAAGAGCUGGGCAAGACCGGUGCCAGCCGCCGCGGUAACACCGGCAGCUCUAGUGGUAGCAACUUUUAUUGGGCCUAAAGCGUCCGUAGCCGGUUUAAUAAGUCUCUGGUGAAAUCCUGUAGCUUAACUGUGGGAAUUGCUGGAGAUACUAUUAGACUUGAGACCGGGAGAGGUUGGAGGUACUCCCAGGGUAGAGGUGAAAUUCUGUAAUCCUGGGAGGACCGCCUGUUGCGAAGGCGUCUAACUGGAACGGUUCUGACGGUGAGGGACGAAAGUUAGGGGCGCGAACCGGAUUAGAUACCCGGGUAGUCCUAACUGUAAACGAUGCGGACUUGGUGUUGGGAUGGCUUUGAGCCGCUCCGGUGCCGAAGGGAAGCUGUUAAGUCCGCCGCCUGGGAAGUACGGUCGCAAGACUGAAACUUAA